AACUGAAUGUUAUCUAUUGAGCAUUUUUUUGUACUUUGUGUAUUGCAGUAAAUUAGACUUGUGAUGAAAUUUAUUUACUGUUUUAGUUUUACAUUUUGAACUUUAAAAUAUGCAUGCCUUGAAGAUACAAUGUGUUUUCAAACCGGUUUGAUUCUGUGGAUAACGUCUCGUUUUUUAAUAAAAAAAGGAACAGAAAAAUUAAGCUGGAAUUUCAUGGGUACUCAUAGCCCGAGAGUCACGCAGACUAUCGCGUGGAAUGAAUUUUCGUCGGAAGUUACGUGUACCAGGUGAGGCUGAACCGGGUCCCGUGGAGGAAAUUGCGGAAGGAAAGGAAAUCAUAGGCGUGUUACAAAUUUUCAGUUCCAACGACAGGCACAGAAUAGAAGUGCAUGCACGGAUACUUUCUGCCACUACCGUAGAUCUUGAGGGGAUCGUGACUUUAAUGGAGUUCACGUUGAAGCGAGUUGCAUGGAAGAACGGUAUCGUUCGCUAUAAAUGUAAUACGGCUUCCCGUGGAAUAUUUCACGAAAGCUUCGUGAGAAUUUCUUCCACUCGACAACCACUCAACGCCCUCCAGGAUGAACUUGACCUUCCACCCGAACAUUCACCUGUGACAAGGACGACGGAAACCGAGGAGAUUCCACUUCCGGUCUUGCUUCACGAACAACGAAAUCGUUUCUUCGUAUUUUCGUGAUCAUAGUAUCGCCAUCGUGAACAAGUUUGUCAAAUAUUUUGGAAUAGGAAUUAAACGUUUAUAAAAUUUCA
Bombus terrestris (buff-tailed bumblebee) is the source of this 765-nucleotide RNA transcript. RefSeq lists it as uncharacterized. The record is from RefSeq and is a predicted model, not a curated record. Lineage: Eukaryota; Metazoa; Arthropoda; Insecta; Hymenoptera; Apidae. The transcript has 4 exons.